RNAcentral lists this ribosomal RNA (120 nucleotides) under Thinopyrum intermedium. Lineage: Eukaryota; Viridiplantae; Streptophyta; Magnoliopsida; Poales; Poaceae. The record is from RNAcentral.
GGAUGCGAUCAUACCAGCACUAAAGCACCGGAUCCCAUCAGAACUCCGAAGUUAAGUGUGCUUGGGCGAGAGUAGUACUAGGAUGGGUGACCUCCUGGGAAGUCCUCAUGUUGCAUUCCC